Molecule: small nucleolar RNA, 128 nt
Filed under: Hucho hucho (huchen)
Lineage: Eukaryota; Metazoa; Chordata; Actinopteri; Salmoniformes; Salmonidae
Description: Small nucleolar RNA SNORA75 (ENSHHUG00000005567.1)
Source: RNAcentral
CCCUUCUCAUGAGCUCCACCUGUCCAAACAGUGACCGUGUAUGGAUCCGCACGAGAAGUAGAUCCAAGUCACAGUCAAACAGGCACCUACCUCAAUGAGAGUUUGUCCAUGUCGGAUGUGAAACAAAA